AACAAUGGCACAUCCUUCACAGCUAGGUUUUCAAGAUGCAGCUUCACCAUUAAUAGAAGAACUCCUCCACUUCCAUGAUCACGCCCUAAUAAUCGUUUUCCUGAUUAGCGCUUUCGUCCUAUACAUUAUUGUAGCCAUAAUCACCUCUAAGCUAACGGACAAACUUAUUCUAGACUCCCAGGAAAUUGAGGUCAUCUGAACCGUCCUCCCGGCAAUUGUGCUGAUUAUGAUUGCCCUCCCAUCCCUCCGAAUCCUUUACCUAAUAGAUGAAAUCAAUGAUCCACAUCUUACAAUUAAAGCAAUGGGCCACCAAUGAUACUGAAGCUACGAAUAUACAGACUAUGACGAUCUCGGCUUUGACUCCUACAUGGUCCCAACACAAGAUCUUACUCCCGGCCAGUUUCGGCUCCUAGAGGCAGAUCACCGAAUGGUAAUCCCCGUAGAAUCCCCAAUCCGAGUCCUCAUCUCCGCAGAAGACGUACUUCAUUCUUGAGCCGUACCAUCCCUGGGCGUAAAAGUAGAUGCAAUUCCUGGCCGGCUCAACCAAACAACCUUUAUUGUUAACCGACCAGGCAUCCUCUACGGACAAUGCUCUGAAAUCUGCGGGGCUAACCACAGCUUCAUACCCAUUGUGAUCGAAGCAGUUCCCCUGCCACACUUCGAAAACUGAACAUCGCUAAUAAUGGCAGAAUACACCUCGCUAAGAAGCUAAGUCAGGCAAGCAGCGUUAGCCUUUUAAGCUAAAGAUUGGUGGCGCCUAAUCACCCUUAGCGAAUAUGCCUCAACUAAACCCCGCCCCAUGGCUCGCCAUCCUAACCUUUUCCUGGCUCAUCUUCCUAACAGUAAUUCCUCCUAAAAUUCUAGCCCACUCUUUCCCUAAUGAACCUACCCCCCACAGCACAAAAGCUCCUAAAACUGAUCCCUGAAUGUGACCAUGGCAUUAAGCUUUUUUGACCAAUUUAUAUCUCCAAAUUUUUUAGGAAUUCCGCUGAUUGCUAUGGCCAUUGCCCUCCCAUGGACCCUCUAUCCAACACCAUCAACUCGAUGAUUAAGCAACCGACUACUAACCCUUCAAAACUGAUCAAUCAACCGAUUUACUCAACAGCUUCUUCUGCCUUUAAAUCAAGAGGGGCACAAAUGAGCCGCCCUAUUGGCCUCCUUAAUAAUUUUCCUGCUAUCACUAAAUAUACUAGGCCUCCUUCCAUACACCUUCACCCCCACCACACAACUAUCUCUCAACCUAGGUCUCGCAGUCCCCCUGUGACUCGCAACAGUAAUUAUUGGAAUGCGAAACCGACCAACCCACGCCCUAGGCCACCUUCUCCCAGAGGGAACCCCCUCCCUGCUAAUUCCAAUCCUAAUUAUCAUCGAAACAAUCAGUCUCCUCAUCCGUCCAAUUGCUCUCGGAGUCCGACUAACAGCCAAUCUCACAGCAGGACACUUACUAAUUCAACUCAUCGCCACCGCUUCUUUUGUCCUCCUUCCACUAAUACCAACGGUGGCCGUCCUGACAACUGCCCUACUGUUUUUACUCACCCUCCUUGAAGUGGCCGUUGCUAUAAUUCAAGCUUAUGUCUUCGUCUUACUUCUGAGCCUCUACCUACAAGAAAACGUAUAAUGGCACAUCACUCACACCCCUACCAUAUAGUUGACCCCAGCCCAUGACCCCUAACAGGAGCUAUUGCCGCCCUACUAAUAACGUCAGGACUCGCAGUCUGAUUCCACUUCCACUCCACCUCUUUGAUACUACUCGGGACAAUUUUACUUACCCUAACAGUAAUCCAAUGAUGACGAGACAUCGUACGAGAAGGAACAUUUCAAGGCCAUCACACCCCACCAGUCCAAAAAGGCCUCCGAUACGGAAUAAUCCUCUUCAUCACAUCAGAGGUACUAUUUUUCCUAGGCUUUUUCUGAGCAUUCUACCACUCAAGCCUGGCACCCACACCAGAACUAGGAGGCAACUGACCCCCUGCGGGCAUUACCCCCCUAGACCCCUUCGAAGUGCCCCUCCUUAAUACAGCUGUUCUACUUGCCUCAGGGGUCACAGUCACCUGAGCUCACCACGCAAUUAUAGAGGGCAAGCGAAAACAAGCCAUCCACGCCCUAGCCUUAACAAUCCUCCUUGGUGCUUACUUCACCUUCCUCCAAGCCAUGGAGUACAAUGAGGCACCAUUCACAAUUGCAGAUGGGGUCUACGGCUGCACCUUCUUCGUAGCCACUGGCUUCCACGGGCUCCACGUCCUUAUCGGCUCCACAUUUUUAGCUAUUUGCCUUGCUCGCCAAAUCUCACAUCACUUUACAUCAGAACAUCAUUUUGGAUUCGAAGCAGCCGCAUGGUACUGACAUUUUGUAGACGUUGUAUGACUUUUCCUAUACAUUUCAAUUUACUGAUGAGGAUCAUAA
Lates calcarifer (barramundi perch) is the source of this 2403-nucleotide RNA transcript. It is a transcript of the gene named cytochrome c oxidase subunit 2-like, with no coding region annotated. The record is from RefSeq and is a predicted model, not a curated record. The transcript has a single exon. Lineage: Eukaryota; Metazoa; Chordata; Actinopteri; Centropomidae.